RNAcentral lists this unclassified non-coding RNA (235 nucleotides) under fungal sp. RNAcentral describes it as "partial internal transcribed spacer region". The stretch from base 1 to 46 matches the Rfam family "Eukaryotic small subunit ribosomal RNA", at positions 1786 to 1831 of the family's 1831-position model. The record is from RNAcentral. RNAcentral also lists the same sequence under 1 other name. Lineage: Eukaryota; Fungi.
AAGUCGUAACAAGGUCUCCGUUGGUGAACCAGCGGAGGGAUCAUUACCGAGUUUACAACUCCCAAACCCAUGUGAAUCUUACCUUUUCGUUGCUUCGGCGGGAUCGCCCCGGGCGCCAUCGUGUGCCCCGGACCCAGGCGCCCGCCGGGGGACCUAAACUCUUGUAUUACUUUUGUUUUCUCUGAGUGGAUUACACAAAUAAUCAAAACUUUCAACAACGGAUCUCUUGGUUCUG